AGCAUGUGCACAGUUUCAGGGCGAGUAACACGGAAGAAUAAUUUAAAAUGUUUGAUGGAUGUCAUUUUGGCAUCAACAAAAGAUGGAGGCGGGGCUGCUGGCAUACACGUACAGAGAAGUUGAGCCAGAGCUGCUGUCCCUCGUUUCCUCUCAAGUCUUCUGGCAACUCCCAGCGGAGGUCCGCCGCCUUACACUUUGAAAACUCUUCCAUGUUUAUAAAAUAGGGCACGUUACAUAAAAGUCUUUAAUGUAUUUUAUCUGCACUAGUGAUGCAAUUUUUCUGAACACACUGCAACAUUUACAUGAUCAUGGUUUUAAAGACUUUUCAGCAUACACAUUAAGAACCACUGCUCGGUCUUGUCUUGCUAAUAUUUUUUUUUACAUUAUUUACGUUAUUAUUUUUGUUUUACGUUAUUUACUUUUUAUUAAUGUUCUUAGUAUGAAGUAUACAGUUCUUGUAAUUAAACGCCAUGUAAUUGCUAUGUGUAUGUUAAAAUGAACUGUCCUGUUCAUCAAAUUAGUCAUCUCCGGCUUAGAAACAGUGUUUUGUUCUGUUAAAAUCUAAUUUGUUAAACGUUUGUACAAGUUCAAAACGACCCCAAUGCUAAUUUUCUUUAGCCUGUCAAUGGGCUUGUCCUUUGUAUGUUAGCAUUAAGCUAACAUACAAUAUGUAUGCAAGGCUGAAGGGUUUUGGGCCACCCUCUGCUUUGUCCGACACGAGUCACAAGAUGGAAAUGCAAGCUUGGAGACGGACA
Nerophis lumbriciformis (worm pipefish) is the source of this 755-nucleotide long non-coding RNA. RefSeq lists it as uncharacterized. The record is from RefSeq and is a predicted model, not a curated record. NCBI's taxonomy places the organism in Eukaryota, Metazoa, Chordata, Actinopteri, Syngnathiformes, Syngnathidae.